CUAAGUUUGGCAUCACAGUACAAGAAUAGGAACAAUACAGAGAAUAUUGGAACAGUCCAUGCAUAAGGAUGACAUACAGAUUCAUAAGAACUUCACAUUUUGG
Suncus etruscus (white-toothed pygmy shrew) is the source of this 103-nucleotide small nuclear RNA. Lineage: Eukaryota; Metazoa; Chordata; Mammalia; Eulipotyphla; Soricidae. The record is from RefSeq and is a predicted model, not a curated record.